Molecule: ribosomal RNA, 785 nt
Filed under: Cecyropa sp. AM-2018
Lineage: Eukaryota; Metazoa; Arthropoda; Insecta; Coleoptera; Curculionidae
Description: eukaryotic LSU rRNA
Rfam family: Eukaryotic large subunit ribosomal RNA
Source: RNAcentral
CGUGAAACCGUUUAGGGGUAAACCUGAGAAACCCGAAAGGUCGAAGGGAGAAAUUCAUUCGCGUUUCGCCGUUGGCGUGAGACGGUCGUGUGACGGAGGACGUUCGCGUUUUCCGCGCCUUCCGUUUUUCGAUCCGAUAGCGAACGCGUGCACUUUUCUCCUGGUAGGACGUCGCGAUCCGUUGGGUGUCGGUCUACGGCUCGCGGUGGAGCCCGGACGUACGGCUUGCCGUCACGUUCGGACCCGCGUGUCCCGGCUGACUCGCUCGACGGUAUACGAAAGGUUUAAGGCCGCUCUUAGAGCGUUCGGCUCGCUGCAAGCGCGUCAGAUGUGUCGGCGAUCGGACCUAGUGCCGGUUCUGACCUCUGGCGACUGUUGGCCGCGAAGUUCUCGAACAGACCUUCAAACCGAUCUGCGACGCUAUAGCUUUGGGUACUUUCAGGACCCGUCUUGAAACACGGACCAAGGAGUCUAGCAUGUGCGCGAGUCAUUGGGAAUCACUAAACCUAAAGGCGCAAUGAAAGUAAAGGUCCGCCUCGCGCGGACUGAGGGAGGACGGGCGGUUUACCCUUAAAAGUGGCCGCUCCGCACUCCCGGGGCGUCUCAUUCUCAUCGCGAGAAGAGGCGCACCAAGAGCGUACACGCUGGGACCCGAAAGAUGGUGAACUAUGCCUGGUCAGGACGAAGUCAGGGGAAACCCUGAUGGAGGUCCGUAGCGAUUCUGACGUGCAAAUCGAUCGUCGGAACUGGGUAUAGGGGCGAAAGACUAAUCGAACCAUCUAGUA